UACGUAGGUGACAAGCGUUGUCCGGAUUUACUGGGCGUAAAGAGCGCGCAGGCGGUCGUUCAAGUCGAGUGUGAAAGCCCCCGGCUCAACUGGGGAGGGUCAUUCGAUACUGAUCGACUCGAAGGCAGGAGAGGGAAGUGGAAUUCCCGGUGUAGUGGUGAAAUGCGUAGAUAUCGUAAGGAAGACCAGUGGCGAAGGCGGGUCUCUGGACAGUUCCUGACGCUGAGGCACGAAGGCCAGGGGAGCAAACGGG
Molecule: ribosomal RNA, 253 nt
Filed under: uncultured bacterium
Lineage: Bacteria
Description: partial 16S ribosomal RNA
Rfam family: Bacterial small subunit ribosomal RNA
Source: RNAcentral